This 149-nucleotide ribosomal RNA is filed under the name Acinetobacter baumannii. Its description in RNAcentral is "partial 23S ribosomal RNA". The stretch from base 1 to 131 matches the Rfam family "Bacterial large subunit ribosomal RNA", at positions 2800 to 2925 of the family's 2925-position model. RNAcentral also lists the same sequence under 1 other name. The record is from RNAcentral. Lineage: Bacteria; Pseudomonadati; Pseudomonadota; Gammaproteobacteria; Moraxellales; Moraxellaceae.
CAAGAUAAGAUUUCCCUAGGACUUUAUGUCCUCUAAAGAGCCGUUCGAGACUAGGACGUUGAUAGGUUGGAUGUGGAAGCAUAGUGAUAUGUGAAGCUGACCAAUACUAAUUGCUCGUGAGGCUUGACUAUACAACACCCAAGCAGUUG